Molecule: non-coding RNA, 85 nt
Organism: Caenorhabditis elegans
Lineage: Eukaryota; Metazoa; Nematoda; Chromadorea; Rhabditida; Rhabditidae
Source: Ensembl
AAAAAAGAAUCUAGCAGCGAGUGGUUUCGAUCCACCGACCUCUGGGUUAUGGGCCCAGCACGCUUCCACUGCGCCACGCUGCUGU